GGGAGUAGUUCGUAGUCUGGUGACGCGCCCGGUCUUCAAAACCGGUGAGGGGCGUAUCCCGUCCCUGGUGGGUUCGAUUCCCAUCUGCUCCCGCCA
Molecule: transfer RNA, 96 nt
Filed under: Geoalkalibacter halelectricus
Lineage: Bacteria; Pseudomonadati; Thermodesulfobacteriota; Desulfuromonadia; Desulfuromonadales; Geoalkalibacteraceae
Also listed under: 1 other name
Description: tRNA-Sec
Rfam family: Selenocysteine transfer RNA
Source: RNAcentral